RNAcentral lists this ribosomal RNA (1762 nucleotides) under Eimeria nemethi. Its description in RNAcentral is "SSU rRNA". It matches the Rfam family "Eukaryotic small subunit ribosomal RNA". The record is from RNAcentral. Lineage: Eukaryota; Apicomplexa; Conoidasida; Eucoccidiorida; Eimeriidae.
GGUUGAUUCCUGCCAGUAGUCAUAUGCUUGUCUCAAAGAUUAAGCCAUGCAUGUCUAAGUAUAAGUUUUUAUACGGCGAAACUGCGAAUGGCUCAUUACAACAGUUAUAGUUUAUUUGAUGGUCCUCCCUACAUGGAUAACCAUGGCAAUUCUGUGGCUAAUACAUGCGCAAUCGCUUCCAUCUCUGGUGGAGCUGUGUUUAUUAGAUACCAAAACCAACCCUCUUCGGAGGUAAAAUGGUUAGUCAUAGUAACCGAACGGAUCGCCUCACGGCGAUAGAUCAUUCAAGUUUCUGACCUAUCAGCUUUCGACGGUAGGGUAUUGGCCUACCGUGGCUAUGACGGGUAACGGGGAAUUAGGGUUCGAUUCCGGAGAGGGAGCCUGAGAAACGGCUACCACAUCUAAGGAAGGCAGCAGGCGCGCAAAUUACCCAAUGAAAACAGUUUCGAGGUAGUGACGAGAAAUAACAAUACAGGGCAUCAAAUGUCUUGUAAUUGGAAUGACUUAAAUCCAAACCCCUUUCGGAGUAACAAUUGGAGGGCAAGUCUGGUGCCAGCAGCCGCGGUAAUUCCAGCUCCAAUAGCGUAUAUUAGCGUUGUUGCAGUUAAAAAGCUCGUAGUUGAAUUUCUGCUGGGUUCGACCGGUACACUCUUGUGUAACAUGGUUUCCCCUAGCAUUCUCUCGGUAGCAUCCCCUCCUUAAUCGGUUGGGAUGUAUUUCUGAGACUUUUACUUUGAGAAAAAUAGAGUGUUUCAAGCAGGCUUUUGCCUUGAAUACUGCAGCAUGGAAUAAUAAGAUAGGACUUUGGUUCUAUUUUGUUGGUUCUAGAACUAAAGUAAUGAUUAAUAGGGACAGUUGGGGGCAUUCGUAUUUAAUUGUCAGAGGUGAAAUUCUUAGAUUUGUUAAAGACGAACGACUGCGAAAGCAUUUGCCAAGGAUGUUUUCAUUAAUCAAGAACGACAGUAGGGGGUUUGAAGACGAUUAGAUACCGUCGUAAUCUCUACCAUAAACAAUGCCAACUAGAGAUAGGAAAAUGCCUAUCUUGGCUUCUCCUGCACCUUGUGAGAAAUCAAAGUCUCUGGGUUCUGGGGGGAGUAUAUUUGCAAAAAAGAAACUUAAAGGAAUUGACGGAAGGGCACCACCAGGCGUGGAGCCUGCGGCUUAAUUUGACUCAACACGGGAAAUCUCACCAGGUCCAGACAUAGAAAGGAUUGACAGAUUGAUAGCUCUUUCUUGAUACUAUGGGUGGUGGUGCAUGGCCGUUCUUAGUUGGUGGAGUGAUCUGUCUGGUUAAUUUCGAUAACGAACGAGACCAUAACCUGCUAAAUAGGGUCGGGAAAUCCGUUUCCCGCAUCACUUCUUAGAGGGACUUCGUGCGUCUAGCGCGAGGAAGUUUGUGGCAAUAACAGGUCUGUGAUGCCCUUAGAUGUUCUGGGCUGCACGCGCGCUACACUGACGCAUCCAACGAGUUCAUUCCUUGGCCGGCAGGUCUUGGUAAUCUUGUGAGUAUGCGUCGUGAUGGGGAUAGAUUAUUGCAACUAUUAAUCUUCAACGAGGAAUGCCUAGUAGGCGCAUGUCAUCAGCAUGCGCCGAUUACGUCCCUGCCCUUUGUACACACCGCCCGUCGCUGCAACCGAUCGGAAGGUCCUGUGAGUUAGUUGGAGUGCCCAUUUGUUCUAUUGUUCAUAUGGGUGUUAAAAUUUGCAAACAGGACCUUCUAAAGGAUGCAAAAGUCGUAACACGGUUUCCGUAGGUGAACCUG